UGAUUGGUUGUUUACAGAAAC
This 21-nucleotide non-coding RNA is filed under the name Rattus norvegicus (Norway rat). The record is from RNAcentral. Lineage: Eukaryota; Metazoa; Chordata; Mammalia; Rodentia; Muridae.